GACGAACGCUGGCGGCGUGCCUAACACAUGCAAGUCGAACGGAACUGUUUUGAAAGAUUUCUUCGGAAUGAAUCUGAUUUAGUUUAGUGGCGGACGGGUGAGUAACGCGUGAGUAACCUGCCUUCAAGAGGGGAAUAACAUUCUGAAAAGAAUGCUAAUACCGCAUGACAUAUCGGAACCACAUGGUUUUGAUAUCAAAGAUUUUAUCGCUUGAAGAUGGACUCGCGUCCGAUUAGUUAGUUGGUGAGGUAACGGCUCACCAAGACCGCGAUCGGUAGCCGGACUGAGAGGUUGAACGGCCACAUUGGGACUGAGACACGGCCCAGACUCCUACGGGAGGCAGCAGUGGGGGAUAUUGCGCAAUGGGGGCAACCCUGACGCAGCAACGCCGCGUGAAGGAUGAAGGUUUUCGGAUUGUAAACUUCUUUUAUUAAGGACGAAAAAUGACGGUACUUAAUGAAUAAGCUCCGGCUAACUACGUG
This 482-nucleotide ribosomal RNA is filed under the name uncultured bacterium. RNAcentral describes it as "partial 16S ribosomal RNA". It matches the Rfam family "Bacterial small subunit ribosomal RNA", at positions 28 to 507 of the family's 1533-position model. The record is from RNAcentral.